ACGGGACGGGGCUUCCGGCGGAAGUGGCUAGCCUUCCACCGACUGUCGGGGAAGAUGUUGCGUUCAGGGUGGCAGUGGCUUUGCGUUGGACUGUGCAGCCUCCUGCUGGGACAGGCGGAGGCCCCGACCCCUGUGGAGCCUCCAGAGCGGAGCCGGCCGUAUGCGGUGCUGCGUGGGCAGAACCUGGUGUUGAUGGGAACCAUCUUCAGCCUCCUGCUGGUGACCGUGAUCCUCAUGGCAUUCUGCGUCUACAAGCCCAUUCGGCGACGGUGACAGCUGAGCAAGUCCUUCCAUGAGCAUCUGGGAACGGAAUAAGUUGUGUUGCACGCGGGUCAGUGGAGAAGCUGUAAUCGGAACAUUACUGCUUGGAAGUAAUCUUUGGUCUGGACAGUUGAUAAAUUCUGAACAAUUUAGAAAAAAUAUCUAGCCAUUGUCUUAUCCUGACACUGGAAGGCAAGCAUUGGGCCACUGAGUCCACUUCUCAGUGUUUCUUCUUAUAUCUGGCUGUGCUUGUUAAAAGUAAGACCUGAAGCUCCAGGGUUCAGCGUAAAGAUGGAGUGCUCAGGAGAAAGAAAACGUAACUUUGUAAGUGGUGAAAAAGCCACCCUGGAUUGGAAAAGUCGCUAAUGUUUGAAACUGUUAUGAGAAGGGGGAUUUGACCUGUAGACAUUCCCUACUUAAGAAUCAUUUGGUCAGAAUGGGAUAAGAAUAACAAAUGUUAUUAAUUAUCCUGAGUUGGCCUCGAUGCCCUGUUCGCAAAGCAGUGUCCGCUAUGGGGAACGUAGGUGGUACCCCCCCACCUCACUCCUCAUGCUGCAUGGAGUUCUGUGCUUAGAUACCUCCAUUGAAGUCGGGGUCACCAGGUAGGCCUGUGACCACGGGCACCCUUGGGCUGGGAGGCUCUGGGGGUGGCUGGAAGCAUAGCAGUUGGCCCGUCUCAAACUCGUUGACUUCCUUGUCCUGCACUUAAGCCUUCCCAGCCUGUGGCCUGGAAGUCAGGGCAGUUUUCUGAAUCAGGCGGUCUUUUCUGCCCUGGGUGGGGAGGGUGCAGGGGCGCAGCAGAUGUGCAUGUUCACUGUCAAGGCCAAGGGGCGAGCAGGUGUGUGUUUACACAAGUUAAUUUCCACUUUGAAAAUGCUGCUGUUCAUUUGCACUGUUGGUGAACUGGAACAUCCCCCCGUGGGGAUGAGACUUUCAUUCUUAACAGUAUUUAUUUUAAGGGUGCUAGGCUUAUCUGUGUUACUAAAUUAAAAUGCUUAUCUUGUUUUGUGCUCUAUUCUAGCACAGCACUGAUUUUUUUUUUUAAACAACCUCAACUAAAUGUGAAAUAACUGAAGUGGGAUACUGUAACUGACUGAACAGUUCUGUGUGUGACCCCAGCUCUGAGCCGCUGACAUGUUCGCUGUUCCGUGCUUUUGAGCAAAAUGUCUAUUAAAACGAAAGUAAAAUCUUA
Non-coding RNA from Odocoileus virginianus texanus, 1453 nucleotides. The record is from RefSeq and is a predicted model, not a curated record. Lineage: Eukaryota; Metazoa; Chordata; Mammalia; Artiodactyla; Cervidae.